This 1201-nucleotide long non-coding RNA is filed under the name Monodelphis domestica (gray short-tailed opossum). RNAcentral's name for it is "lncRNA (ENSMODG00000051299.1)". Lineage: Eukaryota; Metazoa; Chordata; Mammalia; Didelphimorphia; Didelphidae. The record is from RNAcentral.
UUAAAAAAGAAAACUAUAUGAUGGAGAUCUAUGUAAUUCAUAUUUUAAAUUUAUGUGGUAUUUGCUAAGAUUAAAGAAAAAAAAUAUAAUGGUGAGUAAAAGAAAGAACAAUAUAAGGAAGAAUGAUUAAGUAAAUGUUGCAUUUAUUAAGCACUUUAUAUAUACAAAGCACUACACUAAACAAUGGGAAUACAAAUAGAAAAACAAGAUAGGAACAACUAGGUGGCUCAGUGGAUCUAGAGAGUCAGACCUGGAGACAAGGGUCUUGGGUUCAAAUGUGAUCUCAGACACUUCCUAGCUGUGUAACCCUGGGCAAGUCACUUAACCCCCAUUACCUAGCCCUUGUUGCUCUUCUACCGUGGAACCAAUAUACUAUUGAUUUUAAGAUGAAAGGUAAGGAUUAAAAAAAAAAAAGACAAGCAGCUCAUUCUGUAAUGGAGGAGGCAACCAUGAAAAUUUUCAGCUCCAAAUCAUAUGGGAAAAUCCUCUGGUUGGUCAUUAGAGUGAAGUGGCACAGCAAUUGUUAAUGCUUCUUCCUCCAUGUCAUUUUCACUAAUGAAAUCAUAUGUUUUCGAUGUUGAACUAUUUGACAGGGCCAAGAACGUUGGUGACAAGAACUUUUCUUCCCGGGUCAUCAGUAGCUGUGGCUGUUAGCACCUGCAGGAGCAUUUGCAGGCUUCAUCUUCCCAGGAUGAUAUCUUAGAGCACUAAGCCGGAGACAUCGUUCUUCUCAAGGUUCUUGGUUUCAGGGUUCUGGGCAGUCUCCAACAUGUUCUGAUGGGAGAUGGUGAUCCGUGGAUGGUGGGGAUUAGAAAUAUUUCUAAAGUCGAUGAAAAUGAUGAGAAACAAUACUUAUCCGGAUUCAGUAUCUUGGGGCUCCUUCGGAUUUUCUCAUAGAUGUCUUCAGGAAUCCUUCAGAUUCUAGGCUGCAGGAAAAUCUGGUCCAGGCUUGCCAAAAAGGCUCCUAAGAAACAUCUUGAGGUCAUUUUACAGAUGAUGAAACUGAGGCAGUGUAUAGUGACUUGCCCAAGAUUGCAUCCCUAGGGAGUGUCUGAAGACAGAUUUAAACUCAGGAAGAUGUUUUGCUGAUUUCAGGUCCAGUAUUCUAUUCAUAGCACCAUCUAGCUGCCCAGGAAUAUCUAGUAUACCUCUUUAUCAAGAUAAGCAAUAAAUACAAAUAAGAAAAAUAAUAGAGAAGGCA